This 404-nucleotide ribosomal RNA is filed under the name Actinomycetes bacterium. RNAcentral's name for it is "Actinobacteria bacterium partial 16S ribosomal RNA". It matches the Rfam family "Bacterial small subunit ribosomal RNA", at positions 355 to 776 of the family's 1533-position model. The record is from RNAcentral. Lineage: Bacteria; Bacillati; Actinomycetota; Actinomycetes.
UGGGGAAUAUUGGACAAUGGGCGCGAGCCUGAUCCAGCCAUGCCGCGUGAGUGAUGAAGGCCCUAGGGUUGUAAAGCUCUUUCACCGGUGAAGAUAAUGACGGUAACCGGAGAAGAAGCCCCGGCUAACUUCGUGCCAGCAGCCGCGGUAAUACGAAGGGGGCUAGCGUUGUUCGGAUUUACUGGGCGUAAAGCGCACGUAGGCGGACUAUUAAGUCAGGGGUGAAAUCCCGGGGCUCAACCCCGGAACUGCCUUUGAUACUGGUAGUCUUGAGUUCGAGAGAGGUGAGUGGAAUUCCGAGUGUAGAAGUGAAAUUCGUAGAUAUUCGGAGGAACACCAGUGGCGAAGGCGGCUCACUGGCUCGAUACUGACGCUGAGGUGCGAAAGCGUGGGGAGCAAACAGG